UAUAUAUUAGUGUAUGAUGCACAGAAGAUUUUGAUUUUUCAAGAGUAAGUUUGAUUCUUACAGAUAUAA
Molecule: transfer RNA, 69 nt
Filed under: Cacoplistes rogenhoferi
Lineage: Eukaryota; Metazoa; Arthropoda; Insecta; Orthoptera; Phalangopsidae
Description: tRNA-Gln
Source: RNAcentral